UCCAGACUCCUACGGGAGGCAGCAGUGGGGGAUAUUGCACAAUGGGGGGAACCCUGAUGCAGCGACGCCGCGUGGGUGAAGGAGCGUUUCGGCGCGUAAAGCCCUAUCGGCAGGGAAGAAGGAGGACGGUACCUGACUAAGAAGCCCCGGCUAACUACGUGCCAGCAGCCGCGGUAAUACGUAGGGGGCAAGCGUUAUCCGGAGUUAAUGGGUGUAAAGGGGGCGCAGACGGCAGCGCAAGCCAGGAGUGAAAGCCCGGGGCCCAACCCCGGGACUGCUCUUGGAACUGCGCGGCUGGAGUGCAGGAGGGGCAGGCGGAAUUCCUGGUGUAGCGGUGAAAUGCGUAGAUAUCAGGAGGAACACCGGUGGCGAAGGCGGCCUGCUGGACUGCGACUGACGUUGAGGCCCGAAAGCGUGGGGAGCAAACAGGAUUAGAUACCCGGGUAAG
This 448-nucleotide ribosomal RNA is filed under the name uncultured bacterium. RNAcentral describes it as "partial 16S ribosomal RNA". It matches the Rfam family "Bacterial small subunit ribosomal RNA", at positions 330 to 793 of the family's 1533-position model. The record is from RNAcentral.